AUGAGUUCUCUAAGAACAUCCUCGACCAGCACCACACUGGAACUUACUACUGUGCUGUGGCUGCUUGUGGGAAGAUCAUUUUUGGGAAUGGAGCAUCAGUAGAACUGAGUCAUCAGCCUGUUCUAGUUGUUACCCUGGGAGUGGCGCUGGUCUUGUUCUUAAUCUGGAAUAUCACUCUAAUCUACUGGAGCUGGAGGAGAGAGAGCCGCAGUGGAGAAUAAUUUUGAGGGCUACUAUGUCAAUCUUUUAUAUUUGAAGAUGAAGAAAAAGGGACACAAGGAGAACAUUUUCACCCCAAGUGAGGUCCUUCCCUGCUACAGACCAAUUCAGAAAGACAACAUUGCUGACAAAACAGGAAAAAUAAUAAGAAAAUGAGAAAAAAAUGUCCUACUGAAUUAAAGGUGCUGAUGUGAAGUGUCAGUGUUCUCUGGAUAUUUUUAAUAGCAUGAAGAGGGUGUUAAAUGUACCAAUUAAUGUUAAAUCUAAA
Pygocentrus nattereri (red-bellied piranha) is the source of this 487-nucleotide long non-coding RNA. RefSeq lists it as uncharacterized. The transcript has 3 exons. The record is from RefSeq and is a predicted model, not a curated record. NCBI's taxonomy places the organism in Eukaryota, Metazoa, Chordata, Actinopteri, Characiformes, Serrasalmidae.